This 2229-nucleotide ribosomal RNA is filed under the name human gut metagenome. RNAcentral describes it as "bacterial LSU rRNA". It matches the Rfam family "Bacterial large subunit ribosomal RNA", at positions 523 to 2757 of the family's 2925-position model. The record is from RNAcentral.
ACCCCGGGAGGGGAGUGAAAUAGAUCCUGAAACCGCAUACAUACAAACAGUAGGAGCCUCGUUAAGGGGUGACUGCGUACCUUUUGCAUAAUGGGUCAGCGACUUACGUUUAAUGGCGAGCUUAACCGUAUAGGGGAGGCGCAGCGAAAGCGAGUUCGAACAGAGCGUUCAGUCGUUAGGCGUAGACCCGAAACCAGAUGAUCUAUCCAUGGCCAGGUUGAAGGUGUGGUAACACACACUGGAGGACCGAACCGACUAGUGUUGCAAAAUUAGCGGAUGAGCUGUGGAUAGGGGUGAAAGGCUAAACAAAUCUGGAGAUAGCUGGUUCUCCCCGAAAACUAUUGAGGUAGUGCCUCGUGUAUGACUCCAGGGGGUAGAGCACUGUUAUGGCUAGGGGGACAUGGCGUCUUACCAAACCAUGGCAAACUCCGAAUACUUGGAAGUUUGAGCACGGGAGACAGAGCACCGGGUGCUAACGUCCGGACUCAAGAGGGAAACAACCCAGACCGCCGGCUAAGGUCCCUAAUAUUGACUAAGUGGAAAACGAAGUGGAAAGGCUAAGACAGUCAGGAAGUUGGCUUAGAAGCAGCCAUCCUUCAAAGAAAGCGUAAUAGCUCACUGAUCGAGUCUUUCUGCGCGGAAGAUGUAACGGGGCUAAGUCAAUAACCGAAGCCGCGGAUUCACACUUGUGUGUGAGUGGUAGGGGAGCGUUCUGUAAGCCUGCGAAGGUGACUCGUAAGGGUUGCUGGAGGUAUCAGAAGUGCGAAUGCUGACAUGAGUAACGUUAAAGCGGGUGAAAAGCCCGCUCGCCGUAAGCCCAAGGUUUCCUGCUCUACGUUCAUCGGAGCAGGGUGAGUCGGCCCCUAAGGUGAGGCUGAGAAGCGUAACUGAUGGGAACAAGGUUAAUAUUCCUUGACCACCGCUGAAUGCGAAGGGGGGACGGAGUAUUGAAGAUCAUCCGGGUGUUGGAUAUCCCGGUUUGCGAGCGUAGGAGGCUGACAGGCAAAUCCGUCAGCGAAUCUCCGAGGCAAAGCAUCGAGCUCUCUUUUGAGCGAAGUGAUUGGAUGUGCUUCCAGGAAAAGCCUCUAAGCUCCAGUUCAGCGGGACCGUACCGCAAACCGACACUGGUGGGCGAGCUGAAUAUGCUCAGGCGCUUGAGAGAACUCAGGAGAAGGAACUCGGCAAAUUGACACCGUAACUUCGGGAUAAGGUGUGCCUUUGUAGCGUGGAGGGAGAAACACCCCGAGCGCGAAGAGGUCUCAGAUAAUCGGUGGCUGCGACUGUUUAUUAAAAACACAGCACUCUGCAAAGACGAAAGUCGACGUAUAGGGUGUGAUGCCUGCCCGGUGCUGGAAGAUUAAUUGAUGGGGUGCAAGCUCCUGAUCGAAGUCCCAGUAAACGGCGGCCGUAACUAUAACGGUCCUAAGGUAGCGAAAUUCCUUGUCGGGCAAGUUCCGACCUGCACGAAUGGCAUAAUGAUGGCCACACUGUCUCCUCCUGAGACUCAGUGAAGUUGAAAUGUUUGUGAUGAUGCAAUCUCCCCGCGGCUAGACGGAAAGACCCCAUGAACCUUUACUGUAGCUUUGCAUUGGACUUUGAACCGAUCUGUGUAGGAUAGGUGGGAGGCAGUGAAGCUAGGACGCCAGUCUUAGCGGAGCCAACCUUGAAAUACCACCCUGAUUUGUUUGAGGUUCUAACCUAGGAGCGUAAUCCGCUUCGGGGACCGUGCAUGGUAGGCAGUUUGACUGGGGCGGUCUCCUCCUAAAGGGUAACGGAGGAGUGCGAAGGUACGCUAGGUACGGUCGGAAAUCGUGCUGAUAGUGCAAUGGCAAAAGCGUGCUUGACUGCGAGACCCACAAGUCGAGCAGAUACGAAAGUAGGUCAUAGUGAUCCGGUGGCUCUGCAUGGAAGGGCCAUCGCUCAACGGAUAAAAGGUACUCUGGGGAUAACAGGCUGAUACCGCCCAAGAGUUCAUAUCGACGGCGGUGUUUGGCACCUCGAUGUCGGCUCAUCUCAUCCUGGGGCUGUAGCCGGUCCCAAGGGUAUGGCUGUUCGCCAUUUAAAGAGGUACGUGAGCUGGGUUUAAAACGUCGUGAGACAGUUUUGUCCCUAUCUGCCGUGGGCGUUGGAAGAUUGACGGGGGCUGCUCCUAGUACGAGAGGACCGGAGUGGACUCACCUCUGGUGUACCGGUUGUCACGCCAGUGGCAUCGCCGGGUAGCUAUGUGGG